GUGUUAGCUUUGGCAGCACAUAUACAUAUAAUUGGAACGAUACAGAGAUGAUUAGUAUGGUCCCUGAGGAAGGACGACAUGCAAACUUGUGAAGCAUUCCGUAAUUAA
Molecule: small nuclear RNA, 108 nt
Filed under: Carlito syrichta (Philippine tarsier)
Lineage: Eukaryota; Metazoa; Chordata; Mammalia; Primates; Tarsiidae
Source: RNAcentral